RNAcentral lists this ribosomal RNA (325 nucleotides) under uncultured eukaryote. Its description in RNAcentral is "partial 18S ribosomal RNA". It matches the Rfam family "Eukaryotic small subunit ribosomal RNA", at positions 1470 to 1796 of the family's 1831-position model. The record is from RNAcentral.
CCCUUAGAUGUUCUGGGCCGCACGCGCGCUACACUGACGGAUUCACCGAGUUGAUCCUUGGCCGAAAGGUCCGGGUAAUCUGGAAACUCCGUCGUGAUGGGGCUAGAUUAUUGCAAUUAUUAAUCUUCAACGAGGAAUUCCUAGUAAGCGUGAUUCAUCAGAUCGCGUUGAUUACGUCCCUGCCCUUUGUACACACCGCCCGUCGCUCCUACCGAUUGAAUGGUCCGGUGAAGCGUUCGGAUGGACGCAUCGCGGUGGUCCGCCGCUGCGGCGCGUCCAGAAGUUCGUUAAACCUUAUCAUUUAGAGGAAGGAGAANUCGUAACA